UCGCUACUACCGAUUGAAUGGCUUAGUGAGCUCUCUGGACUGUUGCACUCUGAGGGCAACCUCGGUGAGCAUACGGGAAGGAGAUCAAACUUGAUCAUUUAGAGGAAGUAA
Molecule: ribosomal RNA, 111 nt
Filed under: uncultured eukaryote
Lineage: Eukaryota
Description: partial small subunit ribosomal RNA
Rfam family: Eukaryotic small subunit ribosomal RNA
Source: RNAcentral